Melopsittacus undulatus (budgerigar) is the source of this 301-nucleotide long non-coding RNA. RefSeq lists it as uncharacterized. The record is from RefSeq and is a predicted model, not a curated record. Lineage: Eukaryota; Metazoa; Chordata; Aves; Psittaciformes; Psittaculidae. The transcript is spliced from 3 exons.
GGAUAAGUUGACGUCCCGCUCGGAGCUCUACUGCAGCAUCGAUGAGGGCUGGAGCAGCCCCCAGGGCUUUGCCAUGAACAAUCAAGGAAUCAUGCUGGAAGGAGACUUGGAGACCCCCAGCACCACCCAGAUUAACCUGGAGAAGGUGGACACCUCACAGAAGAUCCACAUCCAGAAGCCAUCCCAAAUCAUCAUCCCUUGAGCAUGAUGAUGGAUGAUGGAGAACCCAGGAGCCACCAGGACAUCUCCAACCUUCCUCCCUGUGUGGUUCCAUUAACUCCCUGUUUAUAGUUGAAUAAAG